GAGGGUAUAGCUCAAAUGGUUGAGCACAUGCUUAACAUGCACGAGGCCCUGGGUUCAAUCCCCAGUACCUCCA
RNAcentral lists this transfer RNA (73 nucleotides) under Camelus bactrianus (Bactrian camel). It matches the Rfam family "tRNA". From Rfam's summary of the family: Transfer RNA (tRNA) molecules are approximately 80 nucleotides in length. Their secondary structure includes four short double-helical elements and three loops (D, anti-codon, and T loops). Further hydrogen bonds mediate the characteristic L-shaped molecular structure. tRNAs have two regions of fundamental functional importance: the anti-codon, which is responsible for specific mRNA codon recognition, and the 3' end, to which the tRNAs corresponding amino acid is attached (by aminoacyl-tRNA synthetases). tRNAs cope with the degeneracy of the genetic code in two manners: having more than one tRNA (with a specific anti-codon) for a particular amino acid; and 'wobble' base-pairing, i.e. permitting non-standard base-pairing at the 3rd anti-codon position. Lineage: Eukaryota; Metazoa; Chordata; Mammalia; Artiodactyla; Camelidae. RNAcentral also lists the same sequence under 2 other names. The record is from Rfam by way of RNAcentral.